Saccostrea cuccullata (small rock oyster) is the source of this 1032-nucleotide long non-coding RNA. RefSeq lists it as uncharacterized. The record is from RefSeq and is a predicted model, not a curated record. The transcript is spliced from 7 exons. Lineage: Eukaryota; Metazoa; Mollusca; Bivalvia; Ostreida; Ostreidae.
UACAAUUACAUCGGGAUCGAAGUCGGGCUCGAAAAGCAAUUUAUUUAAAAACAACACACCGCGCCGAAAUUCAAUUUUUUGGAGAGUUCCACGCAGCCAUGUUGAAUUUGAUAAUGAUGUUGUACGGGAGGAAGGGGCGAAAGAGAGUUACUCGAAAAGGAGAAGCAUGAUAAACUUUGGAUGGAAUUUAUGUUUUAACAGAAGAUGAAGACAUUUACGACCCUGUUUAGCGUUGCAGUGUGGACUGUGCCUGAGACGAUUCCCCAUAACGCCGGCUAUGUAGACAGCUUGUGAAAAUGGAAUCCAAAUGCUCACAAGAAAUGACAAAAGCAGUAUGAAGAUUAACACAACGAAAUUGUGCCAGAAAAGUUUGAAGUAGCUAUGGGAAUGAUCAACAUUGAACUUGCUGAGGCUCUCUUCCUGAAAGUGACUUGACCAGAUAUUUGGCUACCCAGUAUGAGUAUCUUUCUGCUACAUUUAAUAAAAUAUCGUGGAGGAACACGAAGAAAAGGGCUGCGCACCUCAACAUAUUCAAGGUCAAGCAGCUUUUUACCAUAUCCAUAGUAUCUUGCUGCUAAAUGAAAGAAUUAGUGUGGAGGAGCAGAGAAAAGGGCACCUCAACAUGUUCAAGGUCAAGCAGAAAUUAGGAGCUAGGGGUGCUUCUCCAGAGCUGAAAACUUCUUGGCAUGAAGAGAAGAAGAAGCAAGAAAAAGCAGUUUUAAAUAUUGAUUACAUCUUCAUAGUACAAAAAAUGAUUCUAAAGAUAAUACUAUCUAUGAAAUUAGAAAGCUGAAGUUGCGUUCUGAUGAAUGUGAGAAUGUCUUUAAAGAACAGGACACCAAAAGUGCCAUUCUCAAAUCAAAGCACUCUAAAAGGCAGAGCAUAAGAAGAACUAGGACAAAUAAAGAAUCUAAAAGAGUCAAACCUAUGGAUGUAUUAAUUGAACAGAGAUGAGCUAUUAGAGAUGAAAUAUCUGAGUUGCUACUGUUUUGCACAAACUCAAUGUUAGAUAAGAAAAAUAUACCUAGUGUU